This 159-nucleotide unclassified non-coding RNA is filed under the name uncultured fungus. Its description in RNAcentral is "sequence contains ITS1". Lineage: Eukaryota; Fungi. The record is from RNAcentral.
UUGAUUAUUGUUUUCGGGCUCAGAGAUACACUAAAUAAAACAAGAGUUUGGAACCUCCGGCGGUUUUUUAGGCCUACCGAAGCAACGACUGAGGUAUGUUCACACGGGUUGGAGUUUUGCAACUCGAUAAUGAUCCCUCCGCUGGUUCACCAACGGAGA